This 321-nucleotide ribosomal RNA is filed under the name uncultured bacterium. RNAcentral describes it as "bacterial SSU rRNA". It matches the Rfam family "Bacterial small subunit ribosomal RNA", at positions 84 to 422 of the family's 1533-position model. The record is from RNAcentral.
GCAAUACGGCAGCGGCAGACGGGAGAGUAACACGUGGGAACGUACCCUUCGGUUCGGAACAACCCAGGGAAACUUGGGCUAAUACCGGAUACGUCCGAAAGGAGAAAGAUUUAUCGCCGAGGGAUCGGCCCGCGUCCGAUUAGCUAGUUGGUGAGGUAACGGCUCACCAAGGCGACGAUCGGUAGCUGGUCUGAGAGGAUGAUCAGCCUCACUGGGACUGAGACACGGCCCAGACUCCUACGGGAGGCAGCAGUGGGGAAUAUUGGACAAUGGGCGCAAGCCUGAUCCAGCCAUGCCGCGUGGGUGAUGAAGGCCCUAGGG